Molecule: ribosomal RNA, 566 nt
Filed under: uncultured bacterium
Lineage: Bacteria
Description: partial 16S ribosomal RNA
Rfam family: Bacterial small subunit ribosomal RNA
Source: RNAcentral
UGGGGAAUUUUGGACAAUGGGCGAAAGCCUGAUCCAGCAAUGCCGCGUGUGUGAAGAAGGCCUUCGGGUUGUAAAGCACUUUUGUCCGGAAAGAAAUCCUUGGCUCUAAUACAGUCGGGGGAUGACGGUACCGGAAGAAUAAGCACCGGCUAACUACGUGCCAGCAGCCGCGGUAAUACGUAGGGUGCAAGCGUUAAUCGGAAUUACUGGGCGUAAAGCGUGCGCAGGCGGUUUGCUAAGACCGAUGUGAAAUCCCCGGGCUCAACCUGGGAACUGCAUUGGUGACUGGCAGGCUAGAGUAUGGCAGAGGGGGGUAGAAUUCCACGUGUAGCAGUGAAAUGCGUAGAGAUGUGGAGGAAUACCGAUGGCGAAGGCAGCCCCCUGGGCCAAUACUGACGCUCAUGCACGAAAGCGUGGGGAGCAAACAGGAUUAGAUACCCUGGUAGUCCACGCCCUAAACGAUGUCAGCUAGUUGUUGGGGAUUCAUUUCCUUAGUAACGUAGCUAACGCGUGAAGUUGACCGCCUGGGGAGUACGGUCGCAAGAUUAAAACUCAAAGGAAUUGAC